GACGAACGCUGGCGGCGUGCUUAACACAUGCAAGUCGAGCGGUAAGGCCCUUUCGGGGGUACACGAGCGGCGAACGGGUGAGUAACACGUGGGUGACCUGCCCUCAGCUCUGGGAUAAGCCCGGGAAACUGGGUCUAAUACCGGAUAUGACUCCAUGACGCAUGUUGUGGGGUGGAAAGCCUUGUGCGGCUGAGGAUGGGCCCGCGGCCUAUCAGCUUGUUGGUGGGGUGAGGCCUACCAAGGCGACGACGGGUAGCCGGCCUGAGAGGGCGACCGGCCACACUGGGACUGAGACACGGCCCAGACUCCGUACGGGAGGCAGCAGUGGGGAAUCUUGCGCAAUGGGCGAAAGCCUGACGCAGCGACGCCGCGUGAGGGAUGACGGCCUCGGUUGUAA
This 397-nucleotide ribosomal RNA is filed under the name uncultured bacterium. RNAcentral's name for it is "bacterial SSU rRNA". It matches the Rfam family "Bacterial small subunit ribosomal RNA", at positions 28 to 428 of the family's 1533-position model. The record is from RNAcentral.